AUGUCUCAAUUUGAUCAUACCUUGGUAUCCAUGUGCAACAGAACACAACAACAAGAUGUAUUCAACAUACUAGGAGUUGUAUCUGGAUCAACACUUUUCUUGGGCUUCAGUAAUUGCACCAGUUUGCAACCGGUUGUGAUAAUGGAGAGAGUUGUUCUUUACCGAGAAAAGGCGGCGGGCAUGUACUCUACCUUGGCCUACACCAUAGCUCAGAUGGCAAUUGAAUUGCCUUAUAUCCUUGUCCAAGUACUCGUCUUUGCCUCGACCGUAUACCCAAUGAUAGGGUUCCAGAUGACCACUGUAAAGUUCUUUUGGUUUGUCCUUUACAUGAUGCUAAGCUUCAUGUAUUACACACUCUAUGGGAUGAUGACACUGGCACUAACACCUAACCAUGAGAUGGCUGCCGGAUUGUCCUUCCUUAUCUACGUAUUUUGGAAUGUAUUCUCCGGCUUCAUCAUUGGAAGAGAGCUGAUCCCAAUAUGGUGGAGGUGGGUGUACUGGGCUAAUCCAGCGGCAUGGACAGUAUACGGGCUCAUGUUCUCACAACUGGGUGAUCGGAUGGAGCUGAUCCGUGUGCCGGGGCAGCCGGACCAAACGGUGCGGGAGUUCCUCGAGGGCUAUCUUGGCCUCGAGGGUCGCUACUUCAACCUUAUCACCUACCUGCACUUGGUCGUCAUCGCCCUCUUUGCCUUCCUCUUCUUCAUCUUGAUCAAGCACCUAAAGUUCGAGCGAAGGUAG
RNAcentral lists this ribosomal RNA (738 nucleotides) under Triticum aestivum (bread wheat). RNAcentral's name for it is "partial small subunit ribosomal RNA". Lineage: Eukaryota; Viridiplantae; Streptophyta; Magnoliopsida; Poales; Poaceae. The record is from RNAcentral.